This 561-nucleotide ribosomal RNA is filed under the name uncultured bacterium Geo-125. RNAcentral's name for it is "bacterial SSU rRNA". It matches the Rfam family "Bacterial small subunit ribosomal RNA", at positions 359 to 910 of the family's 1533-position model. The record is from RNAcentral.
GGAUUUUGCGCAAUGGGGGAAACCUGACGCAGCAACGCCGCGUGAGNUGAUGAAGGCCUUCGGGUCGUAAAGCUCUGUCAGAGGGAAAGAAGNGNACGGUGGUUAAUACCCGCAGUACUUGACGGUACCCUCAAAGGAAGCACCGGCUAACUCCGUGCCAGCAGCCGCGGUAAUACGGAGGGUGCGAGCGUUGUUCGGAAUUAUUGGGCGUAAAGCGCGUGCAGGCGGUCUUUUAAGUCUGAUGUGAAAGCCCCGGGCUCAACCUGGGAAGUGCAUUGGAAACUGGGAGACUUGAAUACGGGAGGGGGCAGUGGAAUUCCUGGUGUAGGAGUGAAAUCCGUAGAUAUCAGGAGGAACACCGGUGGCGAAGGCGGCUGCCUGGACCGAUAUUGACGCUGAGACGCGAAAGCGUGGGGAGCAAACAGGAUUAGAUACCCUGGUAGUCCACGCUGUAAACAAUGAGUACUAAGUGUUGCGGGUAUUGACCCCUGCAGUGCCGCAGCUAACGCAUUAAGUACUCCGCCUGGGAAGUACGGUCGCAAGACUAAAACUCAAAUGAAU